UACAGAGGUGCGAGCGUUUGUCCGGAAUUACUGGGCGUAAAGGGCGCGUAGGCGGCCUGAUAAGUAUGGGGUGAAAUCUCACGGCUCAACCGUGAGGCUGCCUUUGUAGACUGUCAGGCUUGAGCACGGUAGAGGCAGAUGGAAUUCCCGGUGUAGCGGUGGAAUGCGUAGAGAUCGGGAAGAACACCAGUGGCGAAGGCGGUCUCUGGGCCGUAGCUGACGCUGAGGCGCGACAGCUGGGGAGGCAAACAG
RNAcentral lists this ribosomal RNA (252 nucleotides) under uncultured bacterium. RNAcentral describes it as "partial 16S ribosomal RNA". It matches the Rfam family "Bacterial small subunit ribosomal RNA", at positions 524 to 775 of the family's 1533-position model. The record is from RNAcentral.